RNAcentral lists this ribosomal RNA (492 nucleotides) under uncultured bacterium. RNAcentral describes it as "partial 16S ribosomal RNA". It matches the Rfam family "Bacterial small subunit ribosomal RNA", at positions 29 to 507 of the family's 1533-position model. The record is from RNAcentral.
AGUGAACGCUGGCGGUAGGCCUAACACAUGCAAGUCGAACGGCAGCACAGUAAGAGCUUGCUCUUACGGGUGGCGAGUGGCGGACGGGUGAGGAAUACAUCGGAAUCUACUUUUUCGUGGGGGAUAACGUAGGGAAACUUACGCUAAUACCGCAUACGACCUACGGGUGAAAGCAGGGGAUCUUCGGACCUUGCGCGAUUGAAUGAGCCGAUGUCGGAUUAGCUAGUUGGCAGGGUAAAGGCCCACCAAGGUGACGAUCCGUAGCUGGUCUGAGAGGAUGAUCAGCCACACUGGAACUGAGACACGGUCCAGACUCCUACGGGAGGCAGCAGUGGGGAAUAUUGGACAGUGGGCGCAAGCCUGAUCCAGCCAUACCGCGUGGGUGAAGAAGGCCUUCGGGUUGUAAAGCCCUUUUGUUGGGAAAGAAAAGCAGCAGGUUAAUACCCCGCUGUUCUGACGGUACCCAAAGAAUAAGCACCGGCUAACUUCGUG